This 499-nucleotide ribosomal RNA is filed under the name uncultured bacterium. RNAcentral describes it as "bacterial SSU rRNA". It matches the Rfam family "Bacterial small subunit ribosomal RNA", at positions 28 to 524 of the family's 1533-position model. The record is from RNAcentral.
GAUGAACGCUAGCGGCAGGCAUAAUACAUGCAAGACGAACGGUAAGUUUGGUAGCAAUACUGAACCUAGAGUGUCGUACGGGUGCGUAACACGUAUGCAACCUACCUUUUACAGGAGUAUAGCUCCCGAAAGGGGAAUUAACCCUCCAUAAUAUCAUUGGAUGGCAUCAUUUGAUGAUUAAAACUGAGGUGGUAAAAGAUGGGCAUGCGUCUGAUUAGUUAGUUGGCAGUGUAACGGACUACCAAGACGAUGAUCAGUAGGGGACCUGAGAGGGUGAUCCCCCACACUGGCACUGAGAUACGGGCCAGACUCCUACGGGAGGCAGCAGUAGGGAAUAUUGGACAAUGGGUGAGAGCCUGAUCCAGCCAUGCCGCGUGCAGGAAGAAGGCGUUAUGCGUUGUAAACUGCUUUUGCCAGGGGAUAAAACGGUUCUGCGGAACUAAUUGAAGGUACCUGGUGAAUAAGCCACGGCUAACUACGUGCCAGCAGCCGCGGUAAU